This 494-nucleotide ribosomal RNA is filed under the name uncultured bacterium. RNAcentral describes it as "partial 16S ribosomal RNA". It matches the Rfam family "Bacterial small subunit ribosomal RNA", at positions 28 to 507 of the family's 1533-position model. The record is from RNAcentral.
GACGAACGCUGGCGGCGUGCUUAACACAUGCAAGUCGAACGGAAAGGCCUGCUUUCCCUUGUGGAUUGCGGGUACUCGAGUGGCGAACGGGUGAGUAACACGUGAGUGAUCUGCCCCCAACUUGGGGAUAAGCCUGGGAAACUGGGUCUAAUUCCCGAUAGGACUGCAGGGUGGUGCCUGUGGUGGGAAACGAUUUUCUAGUGGUUGGGGAUGAGCUCGCGGCCUAUCAGGUUGUUGGUGGGGUAAUGGCCUACCAAGGCGGCGACGGGUAGCCGGCCUGGGAGGGGCGACGCCGAGAGUGAGACAGGGCCCCGACCCAGACUGCAGGGGGAGGCAGCGGAGGGGAGGCAUGGGAAGUGGGUGGGAGCGAGAUGCGCCGAGGGAGGGAGGGGGAUGACGGGCUCGGGGUUGUAAGUUCCUUUAGAAGGAGAGGAAGCCAAGUGGUUGGAAGGGUGGUGACGGUAGCGAUAGAGAAAGCCCCGGCUAACUACGUG